This 6243-nucleotide long non-coding RNA is filed under the name Homo sapiens (human). RNAcentral's name for it is "non-protein coding lnc-C16orf72-1:4". The record is from RNAcentral. Lineage: Eukaryota; Metazoa; Chordata; Mammalia; Primates; Hominidae.
AUAGAGGAGGCCUUGUACUGAAAGCGUGGAGCCACAAGAUAGAAGCUGCCUGGAUCCCUGAGUCACCACAUGUCAUCACGUGGAAGGCAGAAGCCCUGGAGAGUGAUGGAGUCUCCCUCUGUGCGCCCUAUGGCCCAGGCUGCAGUGUAGUGACACAGUCUCAGCUCUCUGUAACUUCUGCCUCUCGGGUUCAAGCGAUUCUCCUGCCUCAGCCUCCUGAGUAGCUGGGAUUACAGGCUGGAGUGCAACGGUGCAAUCUCCGCUGACUGCAACCUCCGCCUCCCGGGCUCAAGCAAUCCUCUCACCUCAGCCUCCCAAGUAGCUGGGACCCCAAGUGUGCGCCAUCACGCCUGGCUAAUUUUUGUCCUUUUUUUUUUUUCUGAGACAGAAUCUCACUCUGUCGCCCAGGCUGGAGUGCAAUGGCAAGAUCUCGGCUCACUGCAACCUCCAUCUCCUGGGUUCAAGCAAUUCUUCUGCCUCAGCCUCCCUAGUAGCUAGGAUUACAUGUGCAUGCAACCAUGCCUGGCUAAUUUUUGUGUUUUUAGUAGAGACAGGAUUUUGCCAUGUUGUCCAGGGUAGUCUCGAAGUCCUGACCUCAAGUGAUCUGCCUGCCUCGGCCUCCCAAAGUGCCAGGAUUACAGGCAUGAGCCACCAUGCCUAGCCAAUUUUUGUACUUUUUGUAGAGAUGAAGUUUCACCAUGUUGGCCAGGCUGGUCUCCAGCUCUUGACUCAAGAGAUCUACCCAGCUUGCCUUCCCAAAGUGCUAGGAUUAUAGCCAUUAGCCACCGCACCUGGUCAGAAACCUGUCUAUUUUAUGCUUAGGUUUGAUGAAGAGUGGACAGCCAUGGAGAAGGAUAACUGGACACCGGGGCUAUGACCUAAUGGGAAUAAACUGGCUGGAAGUUGGCAAGGCCUUUUUGUUUAGGCUUUUCCCUGUGUCUUCAGACACAAGGAUGUUUCUUUCCUCCAGGUACAGGGUGUGUACCUCUGACAGGUCUUACGAUCUGUUCUAAAGGAAGAUCAGAGAAUCCUUUUUGUGUUUUAUGGCUUUUUUGCUUGAAGGGAGAAGGCAAAGGGAAGAUGAGAGGGAUCUUCCUGCUUCUGCUGUUUUUUUCAAAUGCCAAGGUACCAUAUUUUGGGGUAGCAUGAGCCCCAACAAGGAAAACAGUUCAUAUUCUCAGCUGAAUUCAUGAUAGCACAUUUCACAAGAUGGCAACAAGCAUGAGAUAUAGCUAUGAGCAGUACAUUUUGGCUUAGCUUUGUAGUCUGUGGUUUUCAGUUUCUGAAAAGACCCAAAUGUUCUUUAUUUAAAGAACCAAGGUUUACAUGCCGUGGUGAAUCACAACGUGGUGGUUAGAGCCCAGUCAGACGGUCCAUUUGCUUUCUAUUCUUAACUUUCUCGCUGGCCCCAGAGCCUCUUAGAACCUCCCUGGAUAAAAAUAAGUGGUGUUUGGUAAUCCUGAGCUGAAAGGUGGUACUUAAGUCAAAAGCACACCUGAACACAGCUAAUUUGCACUAAUCAUCUAGAUCUGCCAUGAAUCAGCCAGAGGGGAAAACGUCAUUAUGAUGCAACCACAACCAGGUAUUGCAGGACCUAACCAACCUCAAACAUGAUUUUCAUUUCUGAAACCGACUUCUAAGCCCCCUCAUGUAGUGGUUAUCAAAUGGGAGCCUGCAUCAGAAUCCCCUGGAGGAUGUGUUACGAGAUUGCCGGGUCCCAACCCUGGAGAUUCUGAUUCCAGGUAACUGGAGAAGUCCUGAGUAUUUUCUUGUUUUUUCUUUUUUCUUUUUUUUUUUUUUUUGAGACAGAGUCUUGGUCUGUCACCCAGGCUGGAGUGCAGUGGCGCGAUCUUGGCCCACUGCAACCUCUGCCCUCGGGGUUCAAGUGAUUCUCCUGCCUCAGGCUCCGGAGUAGCUGGGAUUACAGGCGCCCGCCACCACGCCCUGCUAAAUUUUGUAUUUUUAGUAGAGACGGUUUCACCAUGUUGGCGAGCCUGGUCUUAAACCCCUGACCUCAGAUGAUCCGCGCGCCUUGGCUUCCCAAAGUACUGGGAUUACAGCCAUGAGCCACCAUAUCUGGCCCUGAGUAUUUUUAUUUCUAACAAGAUCUCAGAUGGCGCUGAAGCUGCUGGUCCUGGGGCCACAUUCUGAGACCCUCAUUUCCCAUACAAAACAAGGUUUCCUAUCAGAACCUUAUUUUUGCCAGUUUAUUUUUUAUUUUUUCGAGACAGAGUCUCGCUGUUGUCACCCAGGCUGGAGUGCAGUGGUGAGAUCUUGGCUCACUGCAGCCUCUGCCUCCCGGGUUCCAGCAAUUCUCCUGUCUCAGCCUCCUGGGUAGCUGGGAUUACAGACACGCGCCACCACGCCCUGCUAAUUUUUGUAUUUUUAGUAGAGAUGGGGAUUACAGGCCUGAGCCAAUGUGCCCAGCCCAGUUUAUUUGUUUAUUUUUUAAAGAGAUGUGGUCUCACUCUAUUGCCCAGGCUGGAGUGCAUUGUCGCCAUCAUAGCUCACUGCAGCUAGAACUCCUGGACUCAAGCGACUCUCCUGCCUCAGCCUGUCAAGUAACUGGGACUACAGGUGUGAGCCACUACGCCUGGCUAAUUUUUAAAAUUUUCUGUAGAGAUGGGGGGUCUCACUGUGUCACUCAGACUGGUCUUGAACUCCUGGUCUCAAGCAAUCCUCCUGCCCCAGCCUCCCAAAGUGCUGGGAUUACAGGCAUGAGUCACCAUGCCUGGCCUAUUUUUGCCAGUUUAAAGUGGUAAAUGAGGCCGGGCAUGGUGGCUCACGCCUGUAAUCCCAGCACUAUGGGUGGCUAAGGUGGGUGGAUCAUGAGGUCAGGAGUUCGAGACCAGCCUGGCCAACAUAGUGAAACCCCGUCUCUACUAAAAAUACAAAAAUUAGCCAGGUGUGGUGGCACGCACCUGUAGUCCCAGCUACUCAGGAGGCUGAGGCAGGAGAAUCGCUUGAACUGGGGAGGCAGAGGUUGCAGUGAGCUGAGACCACACCAUUGCACUCCAACCUUGGUGACAGAGUGAGGCUCCAUCUCAAAAAUAAUACUAAGAAGAAGUAAUAAAGUGGUAAGUGGGCUGGGUGCCAUGGCUCAUGUCUGUAAUCCUAGCACUUUUGGAGGCCAAGGCAGGCGAAACACUUGAGCCCAGGAGUUUGAGACCAGCCUGGGUGACAUAGUGAGACCCCAUCUCUACAAAAAAAUGCUAAAAUCGGCUGGGCGUGGUGGCGAGCGCCCACAGUCCCAGCUACACAGAAGGCUGAGGCUGGAGGAUCGCUUGAGCCUGGGAGGCGAAGGUUGCAGUAAGCCGAAAUGGCACCACUGCACUCCAGCAUGGACAACAGAAUGAGACCCUGUCUCAAAACAAAAACAAAAAACAAACAACAGCAACAAAAAAAGUGGUAAAUGUCCAAUUAUAGUAGUGAUCUUCAACUGGCGUGAUUUUGUCGCCCCAGAAGACAUUUUUGGUUGUCAUUACUGCAAGAAGCUGCGUGGGGUGGGUAUUACCAGCCUCUAGUGGGUAGAAGCCGGGGAUGUUGCUAAACAGCUUAAAGCGCUUAGCCCAGCCCUCAACAACAAAUAAUUAUUUUGGUCCAAAAUAGCCAUAGUGCUGAGGUUGGGCAACUCUGAACUCCAGGGGACUGCUUAAAUAAAGUAGAACAUUCUUACAAGGAAUAACUAUUAUGUAGUCAUUGAGAAGAAUGUGCCUUAAAACUUUUUAACAUUUCUAUUUAUUUAUCUAUUUGUUUGUUUAUUUACAGAGGUGGGAUCUUGCUAUGUUGCCCAGGCUGGUCUUGAAUUCCUAGGCUCAAGCGAUCCUCUCACCUUGGCCCCCUGAAGUGUUGGGAUUACAGAAACAAGCCUCUGCACCCAGCUAAGACAUUUUUAGAACUUAGGGAAAUGUUUAUGACAUGAUGUGGGGGAUAAAACGGUAAGAGGAGUCUAUUCAACAUAUCACCUGUUUUAAUUUUCUCCCUACUUUAUAUCACUACUUACAAUGAUCUUGUUUGUUUCCACGUUUACUUAUGUAUCGUCUGUCUUCCUUCACUAGGGUGAAGGUCCUGGUAUACUGUAGGGGAAAAUGAAAUAGUCGGAGAAGUGAAAUAGGGGAGAGUGGAAUGACAGGGUAAACCUGAUGAUAAUAAAAUCAGUGAAGUGCUGGUAAAUGUUUAACAACUGACUGUGCAAAGAAAAUCCCUGAUUUAUAGAGUAGCAUUUGCCAAUUUCUAUGGUGUAAAUACUCCCACCAUGGCUGAUUUCAAGCUACCUUGUGAUGUCACUGAAGGAGGAGCAGAAUAGAGACAUGCACAGCUGCCUAUCCAAGCCCAUGGGAGCUGGUGCUAGCACAACAGUGGAAAUACUUCUGUCAAUAUAAAAGACUGAAAGGUGGCUGGGGCAGUGGCUCAAGCCUGUAAUCCCAGCACGUUGGGAGGCCAAGGCAGGCAUAUCGCCUGAGGUAGGAGUUCGAGAUCAGUCUGGCCAACGUGGAGAAACCCUGUCUCUAAUAAAAUACAAAAAUUAGCUGGGUGUCGUGGCACACACCUGUAAUCCCAGCUGAGGCAGGAGAAUCGCUUGAACCCGGGAGGCGGAGGUUGCAGUGAGCUGAGAUCAUGCCACUGCACUCCAGCCUGGGUGACACAGCAAAACUUCGUCUCAAAAAAUAAAAUAAUAAAAGACUGGAAGGAAAACUGCUAAAAUUCGAAUGGAGAGCAGUGGGAUUAGAUACAUAGUGGAAACCACCGCCGGGUGUGGUGGCCCACGACUGUAAACCCAGCACUUCGGGAGACCCAGGUGGGCAGAUAGCCUGAGUGUAGGAGUUUGAGAACAACCUGGCAACAUAGCAAGACCUCAUCUUUACAGAAAAUAAGAAAUGAACCAGGCAUUGUUUGCAUUCCUGUGGUCCCAGCUAUGCAGGAGGCUGAAGUGGGAAGAUCACAUGAGCACGGGAGGUCGAGGCUGCAGUGAGCUGAGAUCAUGCCACUGCACACCAACCUGGGUGAGACCCUCUCUUAAAAAAGAAAGAAACAAAGUGAAAAAUAAGAAAGAAAAAAAAGGAAACCAUUGAGUUGGGCAAGGUGACUCAUGCCUGUAAUCCCAGCACUUUGGGAGGCCAAGACAGGAGGAUGGCUUGAGGUGGAAGUUUGAGUCCAGCCUGGGUAACAUAGGGAGACCCCACAUCUACAGAAAAUUAAAACAAAAAAUUAGCUGGGUAUGGUGGCGCAAGUCUGUCAUCCUAGGACUCUGGAGGCUAAGGCAGGAGGAUUGCUUGACCCCAGGGGUUCAAGGCUGCAGUGAGCUAUGAUUGCUCCACUGCACUACAGCCUGGGUGACACAGUGAGACCCUGUCUCAAAAAUAAACAAAUAAAUUAAAUUAAUUAAUUAAUUAAUGCAGACUCCCAGACCUCCAGAACCAAAGUCUGUAUUUGAAUACGAGAGCCUGUGUUACUGCUAUUUUUGUACACCGGUUGUGGUCAGAGAGUGUAGCUCUAUCAUAUAGAUGUCUUGGCUCGUCAAGAAGCUGGUCCUCAUGUGAUACCUGGGUUGGCCCAUGAAUCUGAGUCUUUUUGUUUUCAGAGCCAUGCCACUUUUAGAACACAGUUUCAGGAAAAUUGGGGAACUGUUUAGUCAUCAGAAGCAAGAGACCUGAGACACAGUCUAUAGGUGGCACCUUCCUCCAUGGCACUGUCAUCGUGCUGAAUGAAGCACAUCUCCAGCCCAGGGUCUGCCUCCAAUCCAGGCUCAGAGAACCACCCACAGAGUGGCCACAAGUCGGGCAAGGCCACAGGCAGUCUUUCUGAAAAUGCAUUUAAUUGCCUGUGAUUCAGCCCUCAGAUAGCAGAGUCAGGAUGAGCGAUCACAUUCUUAUCCUGAGUACUAUCUGAUAACCGGCAGCAACUUGCAGCUACUGUUCUAGGCUGAGGACCAGCUUCAGAAGGGACACGAGGCUGUAAUGGAGAAAAGGUGCAUAAACACAGUGGGUAAAAGCAAGAUGAAAGUAAAAAUGAGGAACAACCGCAGAUCUCAAACUACAAAACAUCACAUGUAUUGAGAAAUCUGCAAAUUGCCAAGAGCUUGUCGGUUAAUAGAGUUAAACUACGUAAAAUACUUAAAGAGAUUUAUCUGAGCCAAAUAUGAGUGACCAUGACCCAUAACAGCCCUUAGGAGGUCAUGAGAACAUGUGCCCAAGGUGGUUGGGCUGCAGCUUGGUUUUAUAUAUUUUAGGGAGGAAUGAAACA